Long non-coding RNA from Vitis vinifera (wine grape), 2524 nucleotides. RefSeq lists it as uncharacterized. NCBI's taxonomy places the organism in Eukaryota, Viridiplantae, Streptophyta, Magnoliopsida, Vitales, Vitaceae. The transcript is spliced from 4 exons. The record is from RefSeq and is a predicted model, not a curated record.
ACAAUUCCCUCUAAAAUUUCAUUCUCACACCCGCUGUAUCACCUAAAAAUCUAUAAAUUCUCAUACCCUCAUUUAUCUUCUAUCUGUGGAAAGUCACACCCUAAAAAGCUAUUAACUAUCUCAAAAACCCUAGCCUUUACUCUCAGCCAUCUUCAAUUUCCCUAACCCCCCAAGAGUCCAUAACUUAUUCCUCAUCAUCAUCAAUAACCUCACAUCCCAAACCCUAAGCCUCUCAUUUCUUUGUUCUCACCAUAGUCGUUGAGAGCUACUAAUGCCGAAAUAGAGAAGCUUGAAGUCCACCACUAGCCAGCUAGUUAUCAAUGGCAUUAAACAUUUUCUAAGCUUGAAAUAGAGAUGCUCUAUGGUAACUCUCUGCUUUGAGUAUUUUUUUUUUCUGGGUUUAUCUAAUGUUAGGGCUUGUAUGAAGAUUGCUUGUGUUUCCCCCCUUUUGUGCUUUACUAUUUUAAUUUGUUGUUUCUGAAAUCUAUUGGGGUUGAUUUCGGUUUUGCACAACUGACCCCAACUGAAAAAAAGAGGCACCACUACCAACAGACAAACACAUUGUUUUUCGCUUCCACAAGAAAGAGAGGGCCUUUUUUCAGAGAGAGAGAGAAACGCAGUUUUUAGAGAGAGAAAUCGUGUGGCUCUGAGGAUUUGGGUUAGGGUUUUUUUUUUCUUUUGGGUGGUGAUAAUGGGGAUUGGGUGUUUUUAGAGGGAGACAACAGUCAUGGUUAUAGAGAUUUCUUCAACUAGGUCUAUUGAUAGCAAGCCUUGGCAAUUGAAUGGGCUGACUGGUUGAAUCAAAUUGGCUCAAAUUAGGAAACAAACAUAGAAGACUUUAUUUGGGUUCUGCUUAUCUAGUACAAUUUCUUUUGGAUUUUCAAGGUUAUGGCGGCUUUAAAAUAUUAGCUCAAUGGAUCUAAAUUAGUUGCACUGGUUGUGAUGCUUAGAAACUCUCAGACCAAUGACUUUGACAGUCUCUCCUACUCUAACCUUGGAGCCUUCUGGUACUAUUCUUCUAUUCCCAUCUCAUUUCCUUGUUGUGCAUAGUGUUAUUCAUCAUGAAUGGGUUUCAGAGAUUACUUCUUCAGACUGCAGAAACAUAGUAAUUAACCACUUUGGACUUCAUUCAUUUACAAGAAAUAACAUUUAAUUUUCUUUUGCUGUUUGAUUUUUCGUUAAUUUUCAUGAGACUUGAAAAGUUAUGAAGGGGUCUCAUCUUAAGGUUUCUUGUAUAGAAAAUCAUACACUUUGAUUCCUAUUACUCGUUCUAUUUGUUUAAUUACUCAGUGUGGAGAUUUUUUUGGAUACUUACAUGACUAGUCCUAAGAGGGUUUGCUUUGAUAUACUUUUAUUCAUUUCAUUUAGAUCACCUCUUUUGAGGCUUCAUAAGGGUUUAUGUUUCUGAGUUUGCAUUUUCUUAGUCAGGAGUGAAUUAAAGUAUUCAAUUUAUUUCUGGGUAAGUUUUCUUAGAUAGCACAUAAUAAAAAAAUAUAUCCAAUUCUACUCAACUCAACUCAAACUUAUGUAGUCACAUAUUAUGAGGCCUUAAUUUGAAAUCCAAGGCUUAAAAUUCUGAUAUCUUUUUUUUCUUAGUAAUUGAGUGAUUUUUUAAAUUCAGUUUCUCUUAGAAAUCAAAAUUUUGAAACAAAUUUUCCCAAAUCCCAUAUUUGAAGAAUUUCAAGACUCAAAAUUUGUAGUCCUUCCCACAAUUUUAUAAGCAAUUGAUCAAAAAGAGCUUUGUUGAAAUUUGGAUCCUUAGUGAAACUUUUUUUUUUUUUUUUAGUUUCUUGUCAAAGCAAUACCCUAGUACAGGUUCAUUUUUUGGUAUUCUGGAAGGAUGAACUACAACGGACUAAACAUCAAUAUCUACUACAUUGAUUAGUUGUUUGCACAUUCAAUUUUUUCUAUUAUCUUUUAAAAAAUUAGGCUUUCUACUGAUGUUUAAUUUCAUUUAGUACUAGUCUUAAGCUUGACAAAAAUCAAUUAGUCAUAUAGAAAAUUCAUCCUAUAAAUUACAUGUUACAUCUACUCAAACAGUCUACAAGGUAUACAUGAUUUUUUUAAAUAAUUAUCAUUUUCUUAGAUUUUCCUUUCUUCUACAUUGUCUUAUUUUUGCAAUUGUGUUUCUCUCUAAGAAUUUUGUAUUGUACAUUCAUUUUUUGCAAAAUGAAUUAUUUGUUUCUAAUUAAAGGAAAAUGUGGUAAAAAGCUAAUUUCUUAUUUGACCUUUUUCCACAAGUAUUAAUACCUUCAUAUAUUCCAUUUUGGGGAGAUGUGAUAGUAAAGAAGCAGGAUGCAAAGGAAACUGAUUUGCCAAAAGAAGAGAACCUAAUUUGUUAAAAGAGGUGAUGUCGAUUGAAAACCACCAUGAAGAUUGCAUCAUUAGUCAUUUGAAGGUUGAAUAAUAUUUUUUUGUAGAAUAUAAAUCUUAAUAAUUGUUGCAAUAAUAUUUGUACUCUUGUUGAAAGAAUUAGAAAUUGUUGUUCGAAAUAUUUUGAUGUAAUUUACAAAUUUGUAUGCAA